RNAcentral lists this ribosomal RNA (497 nucleotides) under uncultured bacterium. RNAcentral describes it as "partial 16S ribosomal RNA". It matches the Rfam family "Bacterial small subunit ribosomal RNA", at positions 28 to 507 of the family's 1533-position model. The record is from RNAcentral.
GAUGAACGCUGGCGGCGUGCCUAAUACAUGCAAGUCGAGCGAACGGACGAGAAGCUUGCUUUUCUGAUGUUAGCGGCGGACGGGUGAGUAACACGUGGAUAACCUACCUAUAAGACUGGGAUAACUUCGGGAAACCGGAGCUAAUACCGGAUAAUAUUUUGAACCGCAUGGUUCAAAAGUGAAAGACGGUCUUGCUGUCACUUAUAGAUGGAUCCGCGCUGCAUUAGCUAGUUGGUAAGGUAACGGCUUACCAAGGCCACGAUGCAUAGCCGACCUGAGAGGGUGAUCGGCCACACUGGAACUGAGACACGGUCCAGACUCCUACGGGAGGCAGCAGUAGGGAAUCUUCCGCAAUGGGCGAAAGCCUGACGGAGCAACGCCGCGUGAGUGAUGAAGUUCUUCGGAUCGUAAAACUCUGUUAUUAGGGAAGAACAUAUGUGUAAGUAACUGUGAACAUCUUGACGGUACCUAAUCAGAAAGCCACGGCUAACUACGUG